RNAcentral lists this ribosomal RNA (203 nucleotides) under uncultured prokaryote. RNAcentral describes it as "partial 16S ribosomal RNA". It matches the Rfam family "Bacterial small subunit ribosomal RNA", at positions 524 to 725 of the family's 1533-position model. The record is from RNAcentral.
UACGAGGGGGGCAAGCGUUGUUCGGAAUCAUUGGGCGUAAAGGGUGUGUAGGCGGCUGUGUUAGUCUUGUGUUAAAUCUUUCGGCUCAACCGAGAGUCUGCACGGGAAACGGCACAGCUUAGAGGAUGGAAGGGGUCUGCGGAACUCAUGGUGUAGCGGUGAAAUGCGUUGAUAUCAUGGGGAACACCGAAAGCGAAGGCAGC